CCUACGGGAGGCAGCAGUGGGGAAUCUUGCGCAAUGGGCGAAAGCCUGACGCAGCCAUGCCGCGUGAAUGAUGAAGGUCUUAGGAUUGUAAAAUUCUUUCACCGGGGACGAUAAUGACGGUACCCGGAGAAGAAGCCCCGGCUAACUUCGUGCCAGCAGCCGCGGUAAUACGAAGGGGGCUAGCGUUGCUCGGAAUUACUGGGCGUAAAGGGAGCGUAGGCGGAUAGUUUAGUCAGAGGUGAAAGCCCAGGGCUCAACCUUGGAAUUGCCUUUGAUACUGGCUAUCUUGAGUGUGGGAGAGGUAUGUGGAACUCCGAGUGUAGAGGUGAAAUUCGUAGAUAUUCGGAAGAACACCAGUGGCGAAGGCGACAUACUGGCCCAUUACUGACGCUGAGGCUCGAAAGCGUGGGGAGCAAACAGGAUUAGAUACCCUGGUAGUCCACGCUGUAAACGAUGAGUGCUAGUUGUCGGCAGGCAUGCCUGUCGGUGACGCAGCUAACGCAUUAAGCACNCCGCCGUGGGAGGUACGGUCGCGAGAAGUUAAACUACGAAAGUUAAGUUAGUACGGCGUUGAGACGUUGCCGACGGACGACGACGAGGGGAGGAGG
Molecule: ribosomal RNA, 608 nt
Filed under: uncultured bacterium
Lineage: Bacteria
Description: bacterial SSU rRNA
Rfam family: Bacterial small subunit ribosomal RNA (bases 1-517)
Source: RNAcentral